AGCGACAGCCCCCACCGCCCGCGCCACAGCACCCGCAGCCGGGGUCCCAGGCGCUCCCAGCCCCCGCGCUGGCUCCGGACCAGCUGCCUCAAAACAACACGCUUGUGGCGCUGCCCAUCGUAGCCAUCGAGAACAUCCUCAGCUUUAUGUCCUACGACGAAAUUAGCCAGCUCCGCCUGGUUUGUAAAAGAAUGGACUUGGUCUGCCAGAGAAUGUUGAAUCAGGGAUUUCUGAAAGUGGAGAGGUACCAUAAUCUAUGUCAGAAACAAGUUAAAGCACAACUCCCAAGGUAUGUUGUGGGUGGCAGUGACAAUGAUGUGCAGUUGGUUUUGUUUGUUUCUUGACUUCUUUUUUUCAGUCUCAUGGUUUACAUAUUGCUUCCCAAGUUUUUAUAGCAAAGGGCACAAAGAUCACAAUGUGAUUUCUGCAGUGGUUUGUCCAUUCUCACCGUUUGUGAUCAACAUUUUACUGGAGGUUCUAGCCAGAGAAAUUAGGCAAGAAAAUGAAAUAUAAGGCAUCCAAAUGGGAAAAGAAGAAAUAGAACUCUCUGUUCACAGAUGAUAUGAUCUUGUGGAUAAGGAGUACACUAAUUGAUUAUUAAAGCUAGUAAACCAGUUCAGCAAGGAUAUGGGAUAUAAGAAUAAUAGACAGAAAUCAAUUAUAUUUAUAUACACUAUCAAUGAACAAUCCAAAAAGGAAAUUCAAAACAUUUUAUCAUAGUUUCAAAAA
RNAcentral lists this small RNA (729 nucleotides) under Pan troglodytes (chimpanzee). Its description in RNAcentral is "retained intron". Lineage: Eukaryota; Metazoa; Chordata; Mammalia; Primates; Hominidae. The record is from RNAcentral.